CAGGACAUGGCUAAGUUAGAAAAGCAUCUCCCUUACACUGAGAAGACACCUGUGCAACUCGGGUUGUCCUGA
This 72-nucleotide transfer RNA is filed under the name Helcogramma nesion. RNAcentral's name for it is "tRNA-Val". It matches the Rfam family "tRNA". From Rfam's summary of the family: Transfer RNA (tRNA) molecules are approximately 80 nucleotides in length. Their secondary structure includes four short double-helical elements and three loops (D, anti-codon, and T loops). The record is from RNAcentral. Lineage: Eukaryota; Metazoa; Chordata; Actinopteri; Blenniiformes; Tripterygiidae.